Molecule: long non-coding RNA, 242 nt
Filed under: Mytilus galloprovincialis (Mediterranean mussel)
Lineage: Eukaryota; Metazoa; Mollusca; Bivalvia; Mytilida; Mytilidae
Source: RNAcentral
AGAUAAUUAUACAUAUUUCGAUACAAUUACAUAAAUAAAUAAUGUACGAAAGUAGAUAGAGGCAUUCACAAUUGUUCACCCAGAAAAGUUCAAUUUGUUAUUGAUCUCCUUAAUAAGUUUACAAAGUUCGUUCAGUUCUGUACAUUUUGGGGAAUUCAUUAAGUCAUAAAACUUCAAUGUGUUUGUUCUAUUUCUAUUGUAAAAUGCAAUACAUUGUUUUCUACAAUUAUCGAAAGCUGAAC